Molecule: ribosomal RNA, 816 nt
Filed under: Agromyces sp.
Lineage: Bacteria; Bacillati; Actinomycetota; Actinomycetes; Micrococcales; Microbacteriaceae
Description: bacterial SSU rRNA
Rfam family: Bacterial small subunit ribosomal RNA
Source: RNAcentral
AGAGUUUGAUCAUGGCUCAGGACGAACGCUGGCGGCGUGCUUAACACAUGCAAGUCGAACGAUGAAGCCCAGCUUGCUGGGUGGAUUAGUGGCGAACGGGUGAGUAACACGUGAGUAACCUGCCCUGGACUCUGGGAUAAGCGUUGGAAACGACGUCUAAUACCGGAUAGGACCUUCGACCGCAUGGUUGGGGGUGGAAAGUUUUUCGGUCUGGGAUGGACUCGCGGCCUAUCAGCUUGUUGGUGAGGUAAUGGCUCACCAAGGCGUCGACGGGUAGCCGGCCUGAGAGGGUGACCGGCCACACUGGGACUGAGACACGGCCCAGACUCCUACGGGAGGCAGCAGUGGGGAAUAUUGCACAAUGGGCGAAAGCCUGAUGCAGCAACGCCGCGUGCGGGAUGACGGCCUUCGGGUUGUAAACCGCUUUUAGUAAGGAAGAAGGGGAGCUUGCUCCUUGACGGUACUUGCAGAAAAAGGACCGGCUAACUACGUGCCAGCAGCCGCGGUAAUACGUAGGGUCCGAGCGUUGUCCGGAAUUAUUGGGCGUAAAGAGCUCGUAGGCGGUUUGUCGCGUCUGCUGUGAAAUCUGGAGGCUCAACCUCCAGCCUGCAGUGGGUACGGGCAGACUAGAGUGCGGUAGGGGAGAAUGGAAUUCCUGGUGUAGCGGUGGAAUGCGCAGAUAUCAGGAGGAACACCGAUGGCGAAGGCAGUUCUCUGGGCCGUAACUGACGCUGAGGAGCGAAAGCGUGGGGAGCGAACAGGAUUAGAUACCCUGGUAGUCCACGCCGUAAACGUUGGGCGCUAGAUGUGGGGACC